RNAcentral lists this transfer-messenger RNA (373 nucleotides) under Leptolyngbya sp. 7M. It matches the Rfam family "transfer-messenger RNA". From Rfam's summary of the family: Bacterial tmRNA, also known as 10Sa RNA or SsrA, is named for its dual tRNA and mRNA-like properties. Its role is to liberate the mRNA from a stalled ribosome. Lineage: Bacteria; Bacillati; Cyanobacteriota; Cyanophyceae; Leptolyngbyales; Leptolyngbyaceae. The record is from RNAcentral.
GGGGGCGACAGGCUUCGACAGGGGCUUGUAUAGAUCUUUGGAUGCACGCCGGGCUUGCUUUCGACGGCUCGUUAAAACGUUGAAAGAAACACAAAUGCUAAUCAAGAAUUAGCUCUCGCUGCCUAAUUAACUUUAGCUACAGCGAUGUCUUGCCGGAAGUCUGCCCAAUGCGACCGGUAAAGGCAUAACCCAGUUUGGGCUAGGGCACGUCCACCGCCUGCGGACGGGCUUGAAUCGUUAGUCAGGCUGGUUUUCGGCAAGGUUCGCUCGUUUGCUUACUUGCCGGAAACAAGAUCUGAGCAAACGGGCUAAGCGUGUAGAGUUCACUGGUCGCAACCUUUGGAUGCGGGUUCGAUUCCCGCCGCCUCCACCA